Molecule: long non-coding RNA, 573 nt
Organism: Podarcis raffonei (Aeolian wall lizard)
Lineage: Eukaryota; Metazoa; Chordata; Lepidosauria; Squamata; Lacertidae
Exons: 2
Source: RefSeq, a predicted model, not a curated record
GUGGCGUUCGUACGGAGCCCCCGGUCGUCUCACAGACUAUUGACCCGUACACCACUAAUCCGCUGCCACCAACCAGGUCCUCCCUGGUAAAAUCACUUCAGUCUCAGUCAGGUUCUCAAGUAAAUAAAGAAGAGUGUAUUUUAUUUCAGACACAAACAAACUUUUACGGCACUCCAAACAUUGUUACUCUUUACUUUCUUAGUCUUAUUUCCCACUCUCUAUCUCUUCUACCUCUCCUCACUCAAGAACCCAUUGCCCUAACUGUCUCUCUAUUUCCAACUGCCUACCAACUGCUUCUCCAACUGCCUUUCCCAACCAGCCAAACCACUAAAACCAACCAACUACCCACCAACAACUCCCAACAACAACUAACUCAAACCUUGGGCUAAGCCCUUUUAUACACAGGCAAAACAUUUAUCCCGAGGUUUGCAGCUAUUCUCAUAAAAUGAGCAUCUAACAUUUCAUUCAGCUAUGCAAACGAAGAAGGGAUGAAUAAACAUUGCAUAUGAAUGCAAAAGAUACUUUGCAUUAUCACAUUAGACAUGGAGGAGGCAUAAAACGUUCCCAUAAUUA